Molecule: ribosomal RNA, 274 nt
Filed under: uncultured bacterium
Lineage: Bacteria
Description: partial 16S ribosomal RNA
Rfam family: Bacterial small subunit ribosomal RNA
Source: RNAcentral
AUACGGAGGGUGCAAGCGUUAUCCGGAAUCACUGGGUUUAAAGGGUGCGUAGGCGGCUUGGUAAGUCAGGGGUGAAAGUCUGCCGCUCAACGGUAGAAUUGCCUUUGAUACUGCCAGGCUUGAAUAAGCGCGAGGCAGGCGGAAUGUGGCAUGUAGCGGUGAAAUGCAUAGAUAUGCCAUAGAACACCAAUUGCGUAGGCAGCUUGCCAGAGCUUUAUUGACGCUGAGGCACGAAAGCGUGGGGAGCGAACAGGAUUAGAAACCCGGGUAGUCC